This 411-nucleotide ribosomal RNA is filed under the name Mithraculus forceps. RNAcentral describes it as "partial 16S ribosomal RNA". It matches the Rfam family "Bacterial large subunit ribosomal RNA", at positions 1955 to 2570 of the family's 2925-position model. Lineage: Eukaryota; Metazoa; Arthropoda; Malacostraca; Decapoda; Mithracidae. The record is from RNAcentral.
GGUAGCAUAGUAAUUAGCUUUUUAAUUGAAAGCUUGUAUGAAUGGUUGAACAAGAGAAACACUGUCUCUUUAUUAAAGUUUGAAUUUAACUUUUAAGUGAAAAGGCUUAAAUUUGUCAAGUGGACGAUAAGACCCUAUAAAGCUUUAUAAAACACAAAAAAUUUUAGAAACUUGUUUAUAAAAGAAAAUUUUUUAGAAAUUAUUAUGUUGGGGCGACACAGAUAAAAAUAUGAGUAACUGUCAGUAGAAAGAACAAUUAUUUUUGAUUAACAAUGAUCCUUUGUAAAGAUUAAAAGAUUAAGUUACUUUAGGGAUAACAGCGUUAUUCUUUUUGAGAGUCCUUAUCAAAAAAAGAGUUUGCGACCUCGAUGUUGAAUCAUAAAAUCUUUACAGUGCAGCAGCUGUAAAAGA